This 199-nucleotide ribosomal RNA is filed under the name uncultured bacterium. Its description in RNAcentral is "partial 16S ribosomal RNA". It matches the Rfam family "Bacterial small subunit ribosomal RNA", at positions 328 to 539 of the family's 1533-position model. The record is from RNAcentral.
ACGCUCGACACCUACGGAGGCAGCAGUGGGGAAUAUUGCACAAUGGGGGAAACCCUGAUGCAGCGACGCCGCGUGGAGGAAGAAGGUCUUCGGAUUGUAAACUCCUGUUGUUGGGGAAAAAGAGGAUGGUACCCAAACAAGGAAGUGACGGCUAACUACGUGCCAGCAGCCGCGGUAAUCUGAGGCGGGCUGGCAAGGC